This 98-nucleotide transfer RNA is filed under the name Xylaria telfairii. RNAcentral's name for it is "tRNA-Arg". It matches the Rfam family "tRNA". From Rfam's summary of the family: Transfer RNA (tRNA) molecules are approximately 80 nucleotides in length. The record is from RNAcentral. Lineage: Eukaryota; Fungi; Ascomycota; Sordariomycetes; Xylariales; Xylariaceae.
GGCCUCGUGGCCCAAUGGCAAGGCGUCUGACUACGAUAGGAGCUCCACAAGUCUCCUUAGAUAUCAGGAGAUUCUGGGUUCGACCCCCAGCGAGGUCA